RNAcentral lists this ribosomal RNA (440 nucleotides) under Pimelia arabica emiri. RNAcentral describes it as "partial large subunit ribosomal RNA". Lineage: Eukaryota; Metazoa; Arthropoda; Insecta; Coleoptera; Tenebrionidae. The record is from RNAcentral.
AGUCUGGCCUGCCCAAUGAUUUUUGAAUGGCCGCAGUAUUUUGACUGUGCAAAGGUAGCAUAAUCAUUAGUUUUUUAAUUGAAAGCUGGAAUGAAAGGUUUGAUGAGAAAAUAGCUGUUUCUGUGUUAAUUUUUUAGAACUUCAAUUUUAAGUUAAAAAGCUUAAAUUUUUUAUAAAGACGAGAAGACCCUAUAGAGUUUUAUAUUUAGCUAAAUGUAAUAUUUUUGGUAUUUAUUUUAUUGUUUUUAGUUAUGUAUUUUGUUGGGGCGAUGGAAAAAUUUAAUUAACUUUUUUUGGUUUCUUACAUUAAUUUAUGAUUAAUUGAUCCUUAAUUUUUGGAUUAUAAGACUAAAUUACCUUAGGGAUAACAGCGUAAUUUUUUUUGGAGAGUUCUAAUCGAUAAAAGAGUUUGCGACCUCGCCGUUGGAUUAAAAUUAAAU